ACGUAGGUGGCGAGCGUUGUCCGGAAUUAUUGGGCGUAAAGCGCGCGCAGGCGGUUAUGUAAGUCUGAUUUUAAAUUUCGGGGCUCAACCCCGUGAUUGAUUUGAAACUGUAUAACUUGAGUACAGUAGAGGUAAGCGGAAUUCCCAGUGUAGCGGUGAAAUGCGUAGAUAUUGGGAGGAACACCAGUGGCGAAGGCGGCCUACUGGGCUGUAACUGACGCUGAGGCGCGAAAGCGAGGGGAGCAAACAG
This 250-nucleotide ribosomal RNA is filed under the name uncultured prokaryote. RNAcentral's name for it is "partial 16S rRNA". It matches the Rfam family "Bacterial small subunit ribosomal RNA", at positions 525 to 775 of the family's 1533-position model. The record is from RNAcentral.